Molecule: long non-coding RNA, 243 nt
Filed under: Bos taurus (domestic cattle)
Lineage: Eukaryota; Metazoa; Chordata; Mammalia; Artiodactyla; Bovidae
Description: long non-coding RNA NONBTAT014184
Source: RNAcentral
UGGUAAACCCUGCCCUCCCCUUCAAUCAAACAUCCAGGGUGCAACAAAACACCGGAUUAACAAGGGAAAUGAAAUGUGAAAUAACUUCUCAGGUACAUAGCAAGCCGAUGCAGGGUGUUUAACUAUGAAGUCUUUGCUAAGAUGAUCAAGCCACAUCACCCAUUGCUACUAGCAACCUCCUGGCUGUGUGAAACUCCCCGGGAAAGAAGGGGAAAUCAUCUGGCCUUAAGUGGGGGUUGGCCU